This 160-nucleotide unclassified non-coding RNA is filed under the name uncultured Chalara. RNAcentral describes it as "sequence contains ITS1". The record is from RNAcentral. Lineage: Eukaryota; Fungi; Ascomycota; Leotiomycetes; Helotiales.
CAGAGAACCUCGCCCUUCUGGGUGACUCUCCAACCCUAUGUUAUAUUUACCUUUGUUGCUUUGGCGAGCCGCCUCGGCCACUGGCUUCACGCUGGUGUGUGCUCGCCAGAGGACCUCAAACUCUUAAUUUUAUUGUCGUCUGAGAAUUAUUAAAUAGUUA